AGGGUUGUAGCUCAAUGGCAGAGCAUCUGCUUUGCCUGUAAAAGGUCUCAGGUUCGAUCCCUGGUAUCUCCA
Molecule: non-coding RNA, 72 nt
Organism: Podarcis lilfordi (Lilford's wall lizard)
Lineage: Eukaryota; Metazoa; Chordata; Lepidosauria; Squamata; Lacertidae
Source: the annotation of a GenBank genome assembly